CGUUUACAUAAUCCAGCCCCAGGAUCCCUGCCACGGCGGGAAAUCCAUCCUUCCAUAUUUCCAGGAAGAAGGCUGACUCCAUGGAGCCAAGCAAAAUUGUUCU
This is a long non-coding RNA of Sapajus apella (tufted capuchin), 103 nucleotides long. RefSeq lists it as uncharacterized. NCBI's taxonomy places the organism in Eukaryota, Metazoa, Chordata, Mammalia, Primates, Cebidae. The transcript is spliced from 3 exons. The record is from RefSeq and is a predicted model, not a curated record.